CUUCGAAAAGAAGAUGAUUCACAUAAUAAUUUUGAACAAAGUCAAUGCUUCAUCACUUAACAAAUGGAUUGCUCCCUCUAUGAUCGAAUCAGAUUGUUAGAUUCCUGCAACUUUUAUGAACUUCCUCUUGUAUUCUAUAAAAUACUGAACUUGGUGAUACAACGGAAUUGCGAUGAUGUUUCGAACAAGAUGCUUGAUUAUCACUGAGUUUCUCUAGGUCUGGUGAUUUUGUUGUUGUUCUUGUCGAUGAUCACUGGAUUCUAAACUUUGUUUCAUCUCCAGUGCUUUCAACCUGGCUAUUUGAAGCUUGUACAAGAUCUUAACAAAAAGAAAUUCCAAUAAAAUGAUCAUGGUUUGCUUCGUUUCUAUGAGCUUUUAAUAAAUAAAAUAGGAACUCGAGGUUUUAAUCGGCAGCUUAGGCUUUCACCUUCUGCAUAUUUUCUCAAGCUGCUGUCUUUGGUUCCUAUCUUUGCAAUCUGUAAGCAAUCAUACAAAGAAAAAAAUGAAAGAUUCAUGGCUGUUCUAAGAUCAUUUUUGCUCUUUUAUCCAUUUUUACUUCUCACAUCACAUUUACAAGGAUUUAUUUUUACAAGACCUGCUCUAAUUUCAACCACAGAAACAACCAUAGAAUGACCUGAGUAGUUAAGUUAUUGAGGAGACUAAAGACGAUUAUUGUUAAUACAACUCUUCUGGGCUCAUAUGGGUAGCUAUAUCUCAACCAACAUUACACUGCCGUCGUCAUCUCUCACUCCUUUGUAUUCUCUGCUUUCGCCUCUACACUGAUGUCUUUUAUGAAGUGAUGAAGUUACUUAACCCAUCAAAUCAAUCCACCUCAUGUUAUGUCCUAGAUUUUAGUCAGCUUAUUUCUUCCUAAAAUAGUAAUGAAGUCCGUAGUAAGCUUUGUUUCGUCCUUUCCAAAUAAAUCAAUCUUAGGAUAAAAAUCAAUACCUAAUGAAAACGAUGGUGGCUUGAUUUGGAGAGGAAGAGGAAGAAUCCUAAUGCGUUGAUGUGACGUGUACAAAAAAAUGUGAUGUGUAUGAACUUCAUUUUAGAAAGUUGUAAGAGUUUACAGACCCAAACAAUUUUAGUUAUUUUUUUAAAAGACUGAUACUUAAAUCUUACAAUACUAAAAGGGACAUAUGCUCAAAGGAGAGCAUAUCCACGUCAGAUCAAAAAAUCAGUCAAUCAUAUGCCAUUAACUUACCACAUCAGCUCAUUCUUUUUGUUAACACACAAUCUUAUCGUCUCUUCCUCAAAUAUUUGUCGGUGACUUUUCCUUUGCACUCUACGGCGUCGAAGAUAUUGUCUUCGCCGAUCGACCUCCCCACUAUCAAGAUCAAUAACUGUACCAUUCAACACAAUACCCUCUUCAAUUUCUUCCCUUUCCCCAACCUAGCUAUAUAUACGGUGAUAUUCAAGACCAAAGUUCCUCACAACGUUAUCCUCAAAAGCACCAGCGUGUUUAAGCUCCAAGGCUAAAGCACGACUAAUGAUAUCAGAUGGGAUGUGCACCUUUUCAUUUCAUCUUCAGUUCUGGUUGCUUCUUAAUUAAGUUCCACGAUUUGAACCCACCUACUGUUUCUUAUGCAGAUCAACCAUUGGGAUGAAGUUGUUGUCACAAACGACCUUCAGAUGGAUGAGGGCGAGGAUGAUAAUGAGGAAGAUGACCAAGAAGUAGAUCACCGAAAUAGAGCAAAUAAAAAUGUCAUCAGCUGGGAUGUUGGGUUAGUGUACGCGGAACCAUGAAGAGAGAUUAAGAAUUCAAGGUUAACAUCAAUGAUUUAUAGUUGCGACUAAGAAGACUGGACUAUGCAUGACUUCUUGGCCCAAUCAUCCUGCCAUGAUCUAGGUAUUCCUUGGAAACAACAGUGUUUGUCCUAGGCUGGUUUAUCUUCUUGUGAGACCUGGAUUUGGCUUAUCAUAAGAAGGCUGGCGCCAUGAAUUUGUUGGUAAAUAAUUAUGCUUAAUCCUUGAUUGUAUAUUUUAAACUGAUAUAUAAUGGUCUCUCGCAAACUUAUUGAUUCUUUCGUCUUUUCAUGUUGUGCUAUAUAUUCAAUUGAAGAUACGAGUCUCGGGGUUUCUAUCAAUUGUGCUUUAUCUUUUGAAUGUCGACUGUGAUCAAUACAUCUACGAUAGCAAAAAUCUAAGAGAAUAAAUGUGUUUCGUGGUGGCUUCUAAGUUGGGAAAGAAGAUUUGUUAUGAUCACUACCCUCAAAGAUUCGAUGGGAUCGGUAGACACGACAGAUACAGUAAUGGCAGCGUUGUAUUUUACGAUGUAAGUACACAAAACUUUGAUCACCAGAUUCACCACCUUCCUUAUCUUGAGUCAUAACCUAAGUCUUAGUAAUCUUAAUUGCUUCCUUAUCUUGAGUCAUAACCUAUGUUUUAGUAAUCUUAAUUGCACUCCCACUGCGGCACUGUUUUUUUUUGCUACCAUUAGCUUCAUUGAAAGCAAAAAGAACAAUAGCAUCGGUGCUGGAGCUUCGUACAAGCCACAUAAGUGAUUUUUUAACGAGGUAUUAUAAAGACCCAACUAUGUUUUUACCGGCCAGCUUACCUUAAUUACUAAUAUACUAUUUGAAGCACUUGAAAGUUGAGCCUACAUAUCCAAAACAAGGCUUUCUUGAUUUUUGUUAUCCCCCACGACAAAGAGACAUUUCUUACGAAACUCGGACUUACAGCUCGGGCUUGCAUCUCUUGAAAAAGUGUUUCUGAACAUCGCUAGACGGGCUAAACUAGAAAGUGCAACCGCUGCAAGAACCAUGGUCACCCACGAUUUAGAAUCUGGCAUCUCACUUAAAAGGAAAUCCAAUAGCAGAUAUAAAUAUAAAAUGCAACAGAUGAGGAAUUCCACUAAAUUAUAUGAUCAUUGUAAAUAUAGAUAUGGAUACGGUGGGAGCCAGAUUUGGUGGGAUCCUUGACACCAAACGCAGAAAAUUCAAUUGGAGUAAUGAUUGAAGUUUACUGGCAACAAGAUGGGUCGGGGUAGAUGGCAAUAGUCCACAUCUUUUUUUUUGGUAGAAAUGUUAAAUAUUAUAGUUCACAUCUUCACAUUGAGUUUUGUGAUUGUUCAAUGUGACAAAAAUAUCGCAAUGUAUAUACAUGUUACAGACACAAGUUCGUGACUGACCUUUUUAUGAUAGGUUUUGUCUUUCUCAACAGUUAUAUGAACCUA
Brassica napus (rape) is the source of this 3175-nucleotide long non-coding RNA. RefSeq lists it as uncharacterized. The record is from RefSeq and is a predicted model, not a curated record. The transcript is spliced from 5 exons. NCBI's taxonomy places the organism in Eukaryota, Viridiplantae, Streptophyta, Magnoliopsida, Brassicales, Brassicaceae.